RNA transcript from Orcinus orca (killer whale), 8829 nucleotides. It is a transcript of the gene named mab-21 like 3, with no coding region annotated. The transcript has 7 exons. NCBI's taxonomy places the organism in Eukaryota, Metazoa, Chordata, Mammalia, Artiodactyla, Delphinidae. The record is from RefSeq and is a predicted model, not a curated record.
AAUAUCACUGAGAAAUCUAUGCACAAGUGCUCUCUCUGCUGAGAGACAAACCAAGACUCUGCUGUUCUGCUCAGCAUAGACCAAGAAGACAUGAAAUCCCUAAUGGAAGGAAACUUAGAAGAUUGCCUGCUGAAUAAGGUGGACUUGAGGCGCCAGUGGAUUUCCCAGACGGUGGAAGAGGUGCAGAAAAUUGUCCAUCGUCUGACCACAGAAAUCAGCUACCAAGACAUUCGAUUUCAAGCCGUCCUUUACUCUGACACGUACAAUGAGAACAUUAAGGUUUUGGCCCCCACCCAGCUCCUCAUCACAGUCCCCAUGAGAGGCCUGGCCGGGUACAAGGAGGCCCGGCAGCAGCGCUGGCGCUACUACACCCUGCAGGGCGCCCGGCUGCCCUGCCCCCUGCGGGACCCAGAGGGCCUGCAGCAGUGGCUGGAGGUGGAGCAGUUUCUGAAGAGCCUGUGGCAGUGGCACGAGGCAGAUGUGAACAUUGACGGAGACAUUGUGCCCGCCAAGGUCCUCCAGGUGUUCCGGAAACUGGUCGAAAACGCAAUUGAAACCUGUCACCUGUCAGGUAAGGUCAGCAUGCUAAUGGACCGCCCUGCAGUUCGAGUUGCCGUGGAAACCUCCACAGGUCGGGUGGAACUAGAGCUGACCCCCUCAGUGGAGAUCCCCACCACCUGGUCCAAGAAAGCCCGGUGGCCUUCGUGUCUGAAGCGCUGGCCUUCUGCAGAGAGAGUGCAGUGCAUCAAGUCAUUUGGGUUUAGCUUGUUGGCCUGUUCAAACUAUCACUGGCAGCUGAGCUUCUUGCGGGCUGAACGGGUGCUGCUGGAGCAGCUGGAUGAGGACGGGGGCUGCCGCAGGAAGUGUCUUCAGGCCAUGAGGCAGAUGAAGGAGGACGUCUGGUGUCCAGGGAAAAGACCUGUGAUCACAUCCUACCACCUUCAGACAGUGCUCUUCUGGACUUGUGAGAAGUAUCCCCACCCAAAGGACUGGCGGGUCUUCAGCAGGGCGUUCCUGCGCCUGGUAAGGAAGCUGCACAAGUGCGUGAGCCAGCACUUUCUGAAACACUACUUCGUGCGGAAGAGCAACCUCCUGCGGUACGCCAAUUCAGGCGAGCUGGGGGCCCUGGCCCAGAAGCUGGCCUUCUUCCUGCAGAACCCCCAGAUCAGCCUGCCCUGAUGCUGCCCUGCGUGGGACGCUCUUGGACAUUUCGUUCAAGCUUGACCUCACUCUCUGUGGCUUGUUCCUCAGUCAGAGGCCAGGAUCCUGCCCAGGAGAGAAGCAACGGACGGCAGAGGAAAAUUCCAUCAACCCAGGGGGGAAAACCUGUGCCCCAAGAUGUCUGGUCCAGGCCUCCCUGCAGCCAAGCAAGCAUUUCUGCCCCCACUAGCUACCUCUUUGGGAGACGGCUCUCAUCAAGCUUCCCCGAGCCAUAGUUUCCGAACCGAUGACAGUUCUGAAUUUAUUUUCCCUUGCUCAGGCUCUGGUUGUCUGUCAGGGAAGAUGUAGAGAGAACCCCCGGAAGGUCAGGUAUCAGCCUGCUGCCCACGAGUGGUUCUCCAGCCCACUGACCACGGGCUCAUUAUUUUUCCAUUUGUAAAAUGGGACUGUUCAUAUGCCUCCCUCAGAGCAGGGCUGCGAGCCUACGGACUGUGCUGCUGCCCUUUCAAGGGGAAGGUGCUGGAUCAACACAAAGUGUUCCUCGUUGGUUCAGUGGCUGGUGUUUGCUUUCAGGAUCAGUAUCUACACCACUGAUUAAAUGAUGACGUCUGAUGGGUUCGCAUGCCCGUGUGCCCUCCAGUUCUCCUAAACUGUGGAUCUUCCUGCUUCCCUGGUGUUCUCUGAGAAGGCAGGAGUGGUUUUGAUGACUAGUGCAGUCAAAGAUGAGAGCGCAGCAACCCCAGUGACUGCCCUUCCUUGCUUCCCAUGCCGUGGGUCAGGGAUGAGACGUCCUUCUAUUUAUGGAAUGAACUCGGUACUGUGAUCCGCAUGGAACGACUUUGGUGUCACUCACCUCUCAGUUCCUUCCUUUGCUCACUUAGCGAUUCACUUCCUCAUUCAUUGAUAAAUAUAUACGCAUUAGGUACUGGGGAUGCAGCAAGAGCAAGAUGGGCAGGGACUCACCUGAUGCAGAUGAUGCCUAAUGGUAAAGACAGGAAAUGAACAACAGAUAAACACAUUUGAUUAUUACAAAUUGUAGCAAGUGGCCUGAAGAAACAGAAUAUGGAAAUAGAGCCACAGAGAGAUCCUUGAAGGAUGAAAAUGCAAACAGCUGAAAGGGAAGAAAAGGGGGCCAAGGGCAGACUUAGAGGGGCUGGCAUGCCAGAUCGCUUGGCCUUGUAAACCCGGAGGCCCCCAUGAAGGAUCAAUUUCUCCUGGAUUCAUUCAGUCAGCAAGUAUUUACUGAGGAUCAACUGUGCCCCAAGUUCUGUUCUGGGCACUGAGAAUUUGGGGGCGAAUGAGGUAGGUGAGUUUCUGCUCCCAGGGAGCUUACUGUUGAGGGUGACAGAACACACACAAGCAAACAGACAAGAAAAUGAUCGAUUCUAAUAAGUACGGUGGGGGAACUCUUGGAGUCACCGGCCCUGAUUACAGUCUACUUGUAACGUGCUUAGUUGUCAUCAAACACUACCUGGUAAACCCUCUGAAGGAAGAAUCUGAGUCUCACUUCUCUUUGGAACUUCCAGGAUGCCAACAUCAUCCCUUCUGUGUAGUGGCCCCUCAGUGUGUGUUUGUGAAAGGAAGGAAAGAAGGAAGGAAGGACAGGAAGAAAGGAAGGGAGGAAAGAAGACAGGGAUUUGGAAAACAUUGAACAAAUACGCCUAGCCAGCAGUGGAGCUGUAUUUGUUAAAUUCACAGUAUGUUCUUAUCUUGCAUUUGUCAUCUUUGCAAUCCCUAGAGAUGGCUUUCGCUGAGAGAACCUAACUCCAGGUAGGAGAGGCGACAUAGGGCAGGGCAAGGGUGCUGUACAAACCCAGGAUUUCGUCCCUGCCUCACCACGUGACUCUGGAGAGUUUUGAGCAAGUUCCUUAAUCCCGCGGACCCUUAGCUUCCUCAAAAGGGGAUCAUAAAACCUGCCUCACAGAAAUGGAAAAUCAAAUAAGGCAGCAUGUGAGAAAUUGCUUCUUAAACUAAAGUACCCCAUAAUCUUGAAAUUAAUUCAGGAUUAUUCUAGGGCCUUGUACUGGCUUUCUUUGCAGAACACUAAGGCAGGCUAUCUGCCCCCCAAAGAAGAAAGCUUCUGGAUAUAGGGAUAUUUUAAAAUAUUAUUUCUAAAUCUACCUUUUUUUUUUUUUUUUUUUCCGACCCCACCUUGCGGGAUCAACUUAGUUCCCCAGUCAGAGAUUGAACCCAGGCCCUCAGCAGUAAAAGUGCAGAGUCCUAACCACUGAGCGCCAGGCAAUCCCCUAAAUCUACCAUUCUUGAUUCUUAAGGAAGAAAGAGUCCUGGGUUCCCAGGAUAACCUCAGGCUGCCUGAGAAGCAAUUGGGUUCUCUCUUACUCGUCCUUAAAACAUGUCCUCCCAGGGUUGUGCCUCCUCCAGCCAUUAGGAUUUGUUGCUUCAAGCACGGGUGCCACACAAUUGGCUUCCCUAAAAAGCAUGUCCCCGUGCCUCAUGCUCCCAAAAAACAAGGGGAAGUCAUCUCUUGCCCUUUGCUGUGAUUUGCUAGUGCUGGUAUAUGAAAUAUGGCUUGCCCGUACCCUCUGCUCACAAAGCACAGGUUACAAAGACCCUGCAAACUUCUCCCUUAGCCCACUGCUCCCUUCCAACAUAGCCUCAGACUCAGUUUUACAUCUUCUGUGCCUUCCAGAAUGCUCUCAUCCCUGCAGUCCCCAUGCCAGACUUAACUCCCGUGAGGUUGGAAUGGUGGGGAAUGACUCAGCCUCGGGAUGCUGGCAGAAUCAAGCCUGAUGUACUGUAUCACUCCAGCAAGAUGUGAUUUCAAUAGGGUGACCACUGGUAAAUAAACCGGCCCCUUGCUUGUCCAGAGUUUCCUGAUGGGUUCUAGCAUUUUGGCAAAAUUUCCUGCAGAGCCUUGAGCUGUGAUUCCAUUUUAAAAUUAAGUCCUUUGAAAAUGGCUUUUGGCCAGUAAGAUCUACUUCUCUGAUGAAGAAGGGAUAUAUGCAAUUACUUGUAUCAAAUACCUCUCUUGAUAUUUGAUAAAUACUAAUUGAAUUGAAAGAAGGGGAGAGAUAUACAAAAAAAAAAAAUACAAUCGCUCGUUAGCACGCUUCUCAUUGGUGUGUUUCUGGCACAUAACCCACUCCUCUCGGACCACCUCCAUCAACAGGACCCCAGGGGGUGUGCCUCCCCAGGUCCUGCUCUCUCCUCUGCCCUUAACUCACAUGCUUUUUGAGGAGGGUGGGGGUGAGGAGUAGAGGGAGGAUCUCUAAGAGAAGGGGUUUAAUGAAGUUGCAGGGAAUUAGAGAAAAUAUUGGUAGGAUGGAAUACCGUGGCAAUCUUCAUUCUCGCUCCUCCACUCACACCUCCCGCUGCUUCCUUGGAACAUGGUAGAAUACCUUACCCUCACUGUAGGAAAGAAAAUCAUAAGAUGAAAAGAAACCGCAUGGAGAGCAGGCAUUUAAAGAGUGGAAGGCUUCUCUGUUGCAGGUGCACUCUCAGGGGGAUGGAGUUACCUGUCGUGGCCGGGAGCUAGACCACAGCUUCCCUGCGCUGUGAGCUCCCAACCCCUUCUCCAGUGAGGUCCCAGCUGCCACUGCCCUUGAGCAGGAUUGCUCCUGGAUUCGCUUUCUAUCCAGGGGACAAGGAAUUUCACUGCCAUCACCAUCGGGUGGUACAAGCACAGAGCCAGGGGAGUGCUAGUGGGAAUCUGGGCUUAUAAGACCUUCCACUGAGGGUCUGCGCCUGUAGCUUGACUCUCCUCAUUAACACACAGGAGGACAUUUCACCUAAGACUCAGAUUCCCCGUCUGCAAAAAUGAGACCAGUAAUACAUACCUCAUACGACUGUAGUUGAAGGGAUUUUGUGAAAUGUGUUUGAAAGCACACUUUGUAUCAAAAGAUAAACCAUAAUGGAAAAGAAUAUAAAAAAAGAACGUCUCUAUGUGUAUAACUGAGUCACUUUGCUGUACAGGAGAGAUUGCCACAGCAUUGUAAAUCAACUCUACUUCAACAAAACAAAGUAUAAUACAAAUGCUAGUUACCAUUGUCACAAAGAUAACAUACACACACACCACACAAUUUUUUAAACUUUACUGUAGAAAUUAACAUACCGUAAAAUUGGUUUGUGUGUGUGUGUGUGUGUGUGUACAUUUCUAUGACUUGCGAUACAUUUAUAGAUUUGUGUAACCAUCACCACAGUGAGAAUAUAGAAGAAUAUCAUUGCCUCAUUCAUUCACUGAAGGACAUUUAGUCGUGCUGUGUUAUUAUUGUACUACAUCGCUGGAUUCAAGUUGCUAAUAUUUUGUUGAGAAUUUUACAUCUUUGUUCAUGAGAGAUAUGGAUCUGAAGUUUUAUUUUCUUGUAAUGUCUUCAUCUGGUUUCAGUAUCAGUGUUAAUUUUGGCCCCAUCAAAUAAGCGGGGAAGUGUUUCUUCCUCUUCUCUUUGCCCUUAUUUCUUCUUGAAAUGUUGGUUAUAAUUUACCAGUGAGACCAUCUGGGCCUGGAGAUUUCUGUUUUCUUUUUUCUUUUUGGCCACACUGCGCAGCAUGCAGGAUCUUGUUCCCCCACCAGGGAUCGAACCCGCGCCCCCUGCAGUGGAAACACGGAGUCUUAACCACUGGACUGCCAGGGAAGUCUCAAGAUUUCUUCUUCAAACUUUUUUUUUUAAUUAAUUAAUUAAUUAAUUUAUGGCUGCAUUGGGUCUUCGUUGCUGCGCGUGGGCUUUCUCUAGUUGCGGCGAGCAGGGGCUACUCUUCGUUGUGGUGUGCAGGCUUCUCAUUGCGGUGGCUUCUCUUGCUGCGGAGCAUGGGCUCUAGGCGCGCGGGCUUCAGUAGUUGUGGCAUGUGGGCUCAGUAGUUGUGGCUCACGGGCUCUAGAGCGCAGGCUCAGUAGUUGUGGCACAGGGGCUUAGUUGCUCUGAGGCAUGUGGGAUCUCCCCGGACCAGGGCUCAAACCCAUGUCCCCUGCAUUGGCAGGCGGAUUCUUUACCACUGAGCCACCAGAGAAAUCCAUGGCAGGUGGAUUCUUAACCACUGCGCCCCCCGGGAAGUCCCCUCAAAUGGUUUUAAAACUAUUGGUUCAAUGUCUUUAGUCAUUAUAGGACUAUUCAGAUUAUCUAUUUCAUCAUGACUGAACUGAUAGUUUGUGGUUUCUGAGAAAUUGGUCCAAGUCACCUAAAUUGUCAGACUUGUGUGUGUAGAGUUGUUCAUAGUACUUCCCUUAUUAUCUCUUUAAUGUCUACAGGGUCUAUAGUGAUAUCUCUCUUUUAUUCCUGAUGUUGGUAAUUUGUGUCUUCUGUCCUUUUUAAACUAGACGUUUAUCAAUUUUAUUGAUCUUUUCCAAGAACCAUCUUUUGGUUUCACUGAUUUUUCCCUAUUGUUUUUCUGUUUUCAUCUUUAUUGAUAUCUGCUCUUUUUGUUUGUUUGUUUUUGAAGCAUCUCUUUUUUAAAAAAAUUAUUUUAUUUAUUUAUUUUUGGCUGUGUUGGGUCUUUGUUGCUGUGCGCGGGCUUUCUCUAGUUGCAGCUAGGGGGGGCUACUCUUUGUUGCAGUGUGCAGGCUUCUCAUUGCGGUGGCUUCUCUUGUUGCGGAGCACAGGCUCUAGGCACACGGGCUUCAGUAGUUGUGGCAUGUGGGCUCAGUAGUUGUGGCAUGCGGGCUUCAGUAGUUGCAGCUCACAGGCUCUAGAGCACAGGCUCAGUAGUUGUGGCGCACGGGUUUAGUUGCUCCACGGCAUGUGGGAUCUUCCCGGACCAGGGCUCCAACCCGUGUCCCCUGCAUUGGCAGGCGGAUUCUUAACCACUGUGCCACCAGGAAAGCCCUGAUAUCUGCUCUUAUUUUGUUAUUUCCUUCUUUCGGCUUGCUUUGGAUUGAUUUUGCUCUUCUUGGUCUAGUUUCCUAAGGUAUAAGCUUGGAUGAUUGAUUUGUUAUCUUUCUUCUUUUCUACUAUAAGCAUUUAAUCCCAUAAGUUUCCCUCUAAGCACUGCUGUAAGUACAUCCCAUAAAUUUUGAUAUGUUAUAUUUUCAUUUUCAUUUGGCUCAAAAUAUUUUCUAAUUUUCCUUGAGACUUCCUCUCUGACUAAUGGAUUAUUUUUAAGUGUUUUAUUUAAUUUCCAAGAGUGUAGAGAUUUUCUCACAUAUGCUUCUAUGACCAUUAAACCUAGGAAUACUGCAGAAAUCUUAAAAAGCCGUUAGUUUUUGUGUGUGUGUGUGUGGUACGCGGGCCUCUCACUGUUGUGGCCCCUCCCGUUGCGGAGCACAGGCUCCGGACGCGCAGGCUCAGCGGCCAUGGCUCACGGGCCCAGCCGCUCCGCGGCAUGUGGGAUCCUCCCGGACCGGGGCACGAAUCUGCGUCCCCUGCAUCAGCAGGCGGACUCGCAACCACUGCUGCACCAGGGAAGCCCCAAAAGCCGUUAGUUUUAAAACUCAAUAACUUAUUGAACACCUCCUGUGUGCAAGGCACUAGGCUAGGUACUGUUUUGGGUCCAAGGCUGCAUGAGAUUUAAUUCCAGCCUUCAAGGAAUUGACUGUCUAGGAGGGAAGCCAAGACUUUGGCAAAUAAGUGGGAUGCAUGGUGGUCGGUGAUACAUGCUUCUGCGUGAUGCAGAGCAGCACGGCAGUGGGGGUCUCUUCCAGCUGAGGUGGUCAAGGUCAAGAGUGUGAGGUGGACCUUGAAAAUGGGUACGAUUUCUACAGUGAUGGUCUUAGGGAAGGCCAUUUCUAGUUAGACAGAACUUUGCUUGGCAGUGGCAGUAGCUCCUGCCCUGUGGGCACCUCUACUCCCGUGCCCAACUGAGCCUGCUGCCACUUGGCACACUUGACCUGCUCAGUCCACACGUGUCUGGGGAAUGGACUCGUGAGACUCACUAGACUGAGGGUCUUCUAAAGGUUGGAGGCAGCUCCCAGCGCCUUUAGAGAAAGGGGUAUUGUUGUGUGUUUUCUGGGCCAGCAGAGGUAAAGGUGGGGGUGAUAAAAAUAAAAACGAAGAUCAAAAGAGUAUUCUACCUCCAUCCUGCAAACUCACAGACAGAGCUGGUCCUUCAGCUUUGUCAGAAAUUGAGUUAAGGACGUGGAAGUCAAGGACUCGAGACAAUCGAGCGACUCAUUGGCAGACCCUGGAACACGCUGCCAGGUUGUGACCGUGAGUCAGAUUACCUUUGGGAUUCUGGCCUCUCUGGCCCACAGAAGCCAGGAAAUGCUGGAGUCGCUGAAGCCAGAGAAGAGUAGAAUGACAAGGGGUGGGAAAGAAAACAUUUGUUUCAGGCCGGAGGUCUCCAGCUCAUUGAAGAAACAGAGGGGAAAAUGUGAGGUGAAAAUAGCUCCCAUCCCUUCCAGACACCUGAGAGGUCAACCAACAAGAAAGACUUCUGGAGAAACUGAGAAUUAACAGCCAUAAGUCCUCAUAACCACGUCUUUUUCAUUCUUCCUGAAGUUUCCAGUCAUAUUUCACUUCCUUUCCCAUUUUUCUUUAAAAGAUGAUUCGCAGGGUCUGCUUUCAGCACAUAAAAACAAAACAAAACCAAGGUUUCUGAAAAUUUGGAAUUUGCAUUUUUUCCAUCAAUUUAUUUUGCACUUGCAUAUUUUGUUUUUACUGAAGAAUGACUGUACAUGUGUUGGUGAUUUAACAAGAAGGAAAUACUUGUUUUAAGUCUUCUAGCAAAGACUAAAAUAACUAGAUUUAAUUUUAUUAAAAAAAUUGUUUUUAAAGAAAA